CGAGGACAAUCCGGCCUAUCUCAUCAAGCAGGAUGACGGAGACCAGGUGCUCAAGCUGGGUUCGGAACUGAGCAAGGGGUAAGGCCAUGCCAGCCAAGUCCAAGGCACAGCAGAAGGCGGCCGGCGCGGCGCUGUCGGCCAAGCGCGGCGAUACCAAGGUCUCCGACCUGCAGGGCGCCUCCAAAUCGAUGUAUGAUUCGAUGUCGGAAAAGGAGCUGGACGAGAUGGCCAGCACCAAGCGCAAGGGCAAGCCGGAGCACAAGGGCGACGACUGAACGCGGCAGCUCGACCCGUCCGCAACCCGUGAAGCCCCUGCCGGGAACGCCCGGCGGGGGCUUCGGCUUUCUAGGUGCAGGAAGUGCUACGACGAGGAGCCGCGAGACAGUGGACGAAGACGAUAAGGAAGCAGCCUACCAGGAAUUCGGCGCCUGCGUGAACAUGGC
RNAcentral lists this unclassified non-coding RNA (443 nucleotides) under plant metagenome. Its description in RNAcentral is "partial contains 5.8S ribosomal RNA, internal transcribed spacer 2, and large subunit ribosomal RNA". The record is from RNAcentral.